Molecule: ribosomal RNA, 758 nt
Filed under: uncultured archaeon
Lineage: Archaea
Description: bacterial SSU rRNA
Rfam family: Archaeal small subunit ribosomal RNA
Source: RNAcentral
GGAUAACCUACCCUUUAGGACUGGGAUAACCUUGGGAAACUGAGGCUAAUACCGGAUAGGCAAUUUUUCCUGUAAUGGUUUUUUGUUUAAAUGUUUUUUCGCCUAAGGAUGGGUCUGCGGCCGAUUAGGUAGUUGGUUAGGUAAUGGCUUACCAAGCCGUUGAUCGGUACGGGUUGUGAGAGCAAGAGCCCGGAGAUGGAACCUGAGACAAGGUUCCAGGCCCUACGGGGUGCAGCAGGCGCGAAACCUCCGCAAUGUGAGAAAUCGCGACGGGGGGAUCCCAAGUGCCAUUCUUAACGGGAUGGCUUUUCAUUAGUGUAAAGAGCUUUUGGAAUAAGAGCUGGGCAAGACCGGUGCCAGCCGCCGCGGUAACACCGGCAGCUCUAGUGGUAGCAAUUUUUAUUGGGCCUAAAGCGUCCGUAGCCGGUUUAAUAAGUCUCUGGUGAAAUCCUGUAGCUUAACUGUGGGAAUUGCUGGAGAUACUAUUAGACUUGAGACCGGGAGAGGUUGGAGGUACUCCCAGGGUAGAGGUGAAAUUCUGUAAUCCUGGGAGGACCGCCUGUUGCGAAGGCGUCUAACUGGAACGGUUCUGACGGUGAGGGACGAAAGUUAGGGGCGCGAACCGGAUUAGAUACCCGGGUAGUCCUAACUGUAAACGAUGCGGACUUGGUGUUGGGGUGGCUUUGAGCUGCUCCAGUGCCGAAGGGAAGCUGUUAAGUCCGCCGCCUGGGAAGUACGGUCGCAAGACUGAAACUUAA